This is a long non-coding RNA of Osmia bicornis bicornis, 541 nucleotides long. RefSeq lists it as uncharacterized. Lineage: Eukaryota; Metazoa; Arthropoda; Insecta; Hymenoptera; Megachilidae. The transcript is spliced from 3 exons. The record is from RefSeq and is a predicted model, not a curated record.
UCGAAAGGAACGCACGAAAUUUGAGGGGAUAAUUUUUUCUUAAAUACACAGUAUAUCAUCGGUAUUCGGUCUCUAUAAAUAUCUCAUUACGCGAUCUAAAAGAAAACGAAAGGAAAAUUUUCCCCGAUGCCUUCUAAUGCUUUAUGUCCAAUUUCCCCGAUGGUAUAUAUAUAUAUAUUCUGGACGGUUUCUUCAAGCUUUCAGAGAAAAUAUUAUUUUUCCUAUCGGACGGAAUAGAUCGCCAGAUGUAGUCGAAGGCGUGUGGCACGGUAACGAUUCAAGAUAAGAUUAACUUUAGAAGCGGAAACUGUUAAUAUGCAAGCCCGAGGAUCGACUGUCACGGAUCAAAGUAUGUUCAACGAGCAUCAGUGGAAUUGAGAUUUCAUAACUAAUCACUGGACUACCACUUGCACAAAUCAAGAUUAAUCUAAAAGAAGAGGAUUACGGCCUUGGUUUUUACAAACUCUGUGCUUCGACGAAUUUACCGGUGUUGCUCCAGCGAGGCCGGGCUGGAUGCGUUUCCGGUGGAUUUUCAAGGACA